GUUUAACGAAGGUAGCAGUAUUUAGGUGGCAGACGGGUGAGUAACAUGUAGGUAUCUGCCCUUUGGCCGUGGAAUAACACGAGGAAACUUGUGCUAAUACCGGAUAAGUCUUUACGGAGAAAGCUUUAUGCACCAUUGGAUGAGCCUGCACUUGAUUAGUUUGUUGGUGGGGUAAUGGCCUACCAAGACUGUGAUCAAUAGCUGAUUUGAGAGGAUGAUCAGCCACAUUGGGACUGAGACACGGCCCAAACUCCUACGGGAGGCAGCAGUGGGGAAUCUUGCACAAUGGAGGAAACUCUGAUGCAGCGAUGCCGCGUGAGUGAAGAAGGCCUUUGGGUUGUAAAGCUCUUUCGUCGGGGAAGAAAAUGACUGUACCCGAAUAAGAAGGUCCGGCUAACUUCGUGCCAGCAGCCGCGGUAAUACGAAGGGACCUAGCGUAGUUCGGAAUUACUGGGCUUAAAGAGUUCGUAGGUGGUUGAAAAAGUUGGUGGUGAAAUCCCAGAGCUUAACUCUGGAACUGCCAUCAAAACUUUUUCAGCUAGAGUAUGAUAGAGGAAAGCAGAAUUUCUAGUG
Molecule: ribosomal RNA, 573 nt
Filed under: uncultured Alphaproteobacteria bacterium
Lineage: Bacteria; Pseudomonadati; Pseudomonadota; Alphaproteobacteria
Description: bacterial SSU rRNA
Rfam family: Bacterial small subunit ribosomal RNA
Source: RNAcentral